CCUACGGGUGGCAGCAGUGAGGAAUAUUGGUCAAUGGGCGGAAGCCUGAACCAGCCAAGUCGCGUGAGGGAAUAAGGCCCUACGGGUCGUAAACCUCUUUUGCCGGGGAGCAAGGGCGGGGACGUGUCCCGGCCCGGAGAGUACCCGGAGAAAAAGCAUCGGCUAACUCCGUGCCAGCAGCCGCGGUAAUACGUAGGAGGCAAGCGUUAUCCGGAAUGACUGGGCGUAAAGGGUGCGUAGGUGGUUUGACAAGUUGGUAGCGUAACUCCGGGGCUCAACCUCGGCACUACUACCAAAACUGUUGGACUUGAGUGCAGGAGGGGCAAAUGGAAUUCCUAGUGUAGCGGUGGAAUGCGUAGAUAUUAGGAGGAACACCAGUGGCGAAGGCGAUUUGCUGGACUGUAACUGACACUGAGGCACGAAAGCGUGGGGAGCAAACAGGAUUAGAUACCCGAGUAGUC
Molecule: ribosomal RNA, 461 nt
Filed under: uncultured bacterium
Lineage: Bacteria
Description: partial 16S ribosomal RNA
Rfam family: Bacterial small subunit ribosomal RNA
Source: RNAcentral